Molecule: ribosomal RNA, 245 nt
Filed under: uncultured bacterium
Lineage: Bacteria
Description: partial 16S ribosomal RNA
Rfam family: Bacterial small subunit ribosomal RNA
Source: RNAcentral
UAGGUGGCAAGCGUUGUCCGGAAUGACUGGGCGUAAAGGGAGCGUAGGCGGCGCAGUAAGUUAGGAGUGAAAUCCCAUGGCUUAACCAUGGAACUGCUUUUAAAACUGCUGUGCUUGAGUGAUGGAGAGGAAAGCGGAAUUCCUAGUGUAGCGGUGGAAUGCGUAGAUAUUAGGAGGAACACCAGAGGCGAAGGCGGCUUUCUGGACAUUAACUGACGCUGUGGCUCGAAAGCGUGGGGAGCAAA